Molecule: long non-coding RNA, 205 nt
Filed under: Panax ginseng (ginseng)
Lineage: Eukaryota; Viridiplantae; Streptophyta; Magnoliopsida; Apiales; Araliaceae
Description: long non-coding RNA (PGIN_LNC003781)
Source: RNAcentral
UUUUAAUAUGCUUCGCUAUCAAUUAUUAUGUUCUAUUGUGAGGAUUGUCUAUUGUGAUUUGGACUUAAUUGUUUAAUUGAUAAGCCAUCAAUUACCGUGAUAAUCUAUAUAAAUUAGAGAGAUGAAGUAUUGAUUUAGAUCUUGUCAUGAUAGCAUGUGUUCAGGAUUUUGUUAGUAGCUUAAACUUGAUGAGUGUUAAGGUAGG